GAGUUUGAUCCUGGCUCAGGAUGAACGCUGGCGGCGUGCUUAACACAUGCAAGUCGAACGAGGAAUUUUAAAUGAGACUUCGGUGGAUUUUAAAAUUCUUAGUGGCGGACGGGUGAGUAACGCGUGGGCAACCUGCCCUGUACAGGGGGGACGAACAGCUGGAACGGACUGCUAAUACCGCAUAAGACCACGGAGCCGCAUGGCUCAGUGGGAAAAACGUACCGGUGGUACAGGA
Molecule: ribosomal RNA, 235 nt
Filed under: uncultured microorganism
Description: partial 16S ribosomal RNA
Rfam family: Bacterial small subunit ribosomal RNA
Source: RNAcentral